AAGUAAUGCAGUUUCUUUGCUAUUAUUUUCUUAUUUGUAUUAUUUUAUAAUUUGAAUAUUCUUUUUUCUCUAUCUUUUUUAUCUGCUUUUUCUCUGGUUUUCUUUAUGUUUUUUUUCUGUUAUAAAAAGUACAGACAGCUUCUCAAUAAACUGAGAGAAUAUUGUGGUGAUUCUUUCAAAGAAUCAUACUAUAGCUUUAUUAUAAAUGAUUAUAUAUUGAGUCAGAAGUAGAUGGGCAGCUCAAUAAGCUGAGUUUUCUCAAGAGUUGUCAUCUGAAUUCUGUUUCUCUCUAUCUAUGUAUAUAGAAAUCCCUCCAGCAUAGCACAUCCCAUGCUCUUUGGAAGGCUUCUGAAACACAGGCUCUGCCCAUGUUUCUCUGAGACACUAAAUCGAUACAUACAUACAUACAUACAGACUGUGGCUCUAUAGCAUAACCUAGGACUGGGCGGUACUGCUGUUGGUUCUGUGUAUAAACGUGCGGACGAGUUGGCGAAUGGUCCGUUGACGAAUAGCGAGAUCGUCGGAUUUUCAGGGGUGAGUUCUAACCCUGCAACAGAAGUCAGGCAGGUCACCAUUGAACAUAUUUUAAGCAAGAAGCAUAAUAACCAAUGGGCUCUUGUGGGUGGCCGUGGUGGAGACUUGGAAUCCCCUUUUCUUGCUAGAAUUUGAAAAGAUAUACCUUUUUUUUGUCUACUGAUAGUAUACAUGUUUUUUUCUG
Molecule: small RNA, 718 nt
Filed under: Histoplasma capsulatum
Lineage: Eukaryota; Fungi; Ascomycota; Eurotiomycetes; Onygenales; Ajellomycetaceae
Also listed under: 1 other name
Description: hypothetical RNA
Source: RNAcentral